UUAAGUGGGAAACGAUGUGGGAAGGCCCAGACAGCCAGGAUGUUGGCUUAGAAGCAGCCAUCAUUUAAAGAAAGCGUAAUAGCUCACUGGUCGAGUCGGCCUGCGCGGAAGAUGUAACGGGGCUAAACCAUGCACCGAAGCUGCGGCAGCGACACUCAGGUGUUGUUGGGUAGGGGAGCGUUCUGUAAGCCUGCGAAGGUGGCCUGUGAGGGUUGCUGGAGGUAUCAGAAGUGCGAAUGCUGACAUAAGUAACGAUAAAGCGGGUGAAAAGCCCGCUCGCCGGAAGACCAAGGGUUCCUGUCCAACGUUAAUCGGGGCAGGGUGAGUCGACCCCUAAGGCGAGGCCGAAAGGCGUAGUCGAUGGGAAACGGGUUAAUAUUCCCGUACUUGGUGUUACUGCGAAGGGGGGACGGAGAAGGCUAUGUUGGCCGGGCGACGGUUGUCCCGGUUUAAGCGUGUAGGUGUGUGUUCCAGGUAAAUCCGGUUCACUUUAACACUGAGGCGUGAUGACGAGGCACUACGGUGCUGAAGCAACAAAUGCCCUGCUUCCAGGAAAAGCCUCUAAGCAUCAGGUAACAUCAAAUCGUACCCCAAACCGACACAGGUGGUCAGGUAGAGAAUACCAAGGCGCUUGAGAGAACUCGGGUGAAGGAACUAGGCAAAAUGGUGCCGUAACUUCGGGAGAAGGCACGCUGACACGUAGGUGAAGUGAUUUACUCAUGGAGCUGAAGUCAGUCGAAGAUACCAGCUGGCUGCAACUGUUUAUUAAAAACACAGCACUGUGCAAACACGAAAGUGGACGUAUACGGUGUGACGCCUGCCCGGUGCCGGAAGGUUAAUUGAUGGGGUCAGCGCAAGCGAAGCUCCUGAUCGAAGCCCCGGUAAACGGCGGCCGUAACUAUAACGGUCCUAAGGUAGCGAAAUUCCUUGUCGGGUAAGUUCCGACCUGCACGAAUGGCGUAAUGAUGGCCAGGCUGUCUCCACCCGAGACUCAGUGAAAUUGAACUCGCUGUGAAGAUGCAGUGUACCCGCGGCAAGACGGAAAGACCCCGUGAACCUUUACUAUAGCUUGACACUGAACAUUGAGCCUUGAUGUGUAGGAUAGGUGGGAGGCUUUGAAGUGUGGACGCCAGUCUGCAUGGAGCCGGCCUUGAAAUACCACCCUUUAAUGUUUGAUGUUCUAACGUGGACCCGUGAUCCGGGUUGCGGACAGUGUCUGGUGGGUAGUUUGACUGGGGCGGUCUCCUCCUAAAGAGUAACGGAGGAGCACGAAGGUUGGCUAAUCCUGGUCGGACAUCAGGAGGUUAGUGCAAUGGCAUAAGCCAGCUUGACUGCGAGCGUGACGGCGCGAGCAGGUGCGAAAGCAGGUCAUAGUGAUCCGGUGGUUCUGAAUGGAAGGGCCAUCGCUCAACGGAUAAAAGGUACUCCGGGGAUAACAGGCUGAUACCGCCCAAGAGUUCAUAUCGACGGCGGUGUUUGGCACCUCGAUGUCGGCUCAUCACAUCCUGGGGCUGAAGUAGGUCCCAAGGGUAUGGCUGUUCGCCAUUUAAAGUGGUACGCGAGCUGGGUUUAGAACGUCGUGAGACAGUUCGGUCCCUAUCUGCCGUGGGCGCUGGAGAACUGAGGGGGGCUGCUCCUAGUACGAGAGGACCGGAGUGGACGCAUCACUGGUGUUCGGGUUGUCAUGCCAAUGGCACUGCCCGGUAGCUAAAUGCGGAAGAGAUAAGUGCUGAAAGCAUCUAAGCACGAAACUUGCCCCGAGAUGAGUUCUCCCUGAGACUUUAGGUCUCCUGAAGGAACGUUGAAGACGACGACGUUGAUAGGCCGGGUGUGUAAGCGCAGCGAUGCGUUGAGCUAACCGGUACUAAUGAACCGUGAGGCUUAACCUUACA
This 1892-nucleotide ribosomal RNA is filed under the name Salmonella enterica. RNAcentral describes it as "partial 23S ribosomal RNA". It matches the Rfam family "Bacterial large subunit ribosomal RNA", at positions 1059 to 2925 of the family's 2925-position model. Lineage: Bacteria; Pseudomonadati; Pseudomonadota; Gammaproteobacteria; Enterobacterales; Enterobacteriaceae. The record is from RNAcentral.